Molecule: long non-coding RNA, 3185 nt
Organism: Clupea harengus (Atlantic herring)
Lineage: Eukaryota; Metazoa; Chordata; Actinopteri; Clupeiformes; Clupeidae
Exons: 3
Source: RefSeq, a predicted model, not a curated record
AACAAUAGGUGCCUUGGACCAAGCCAUGAAUAAUUCUAGCCUUUCAACAUAUUGCUUCAGGAUCAUGAAAGGGAGGGGCGUGAUAUAAUUGGCUGUUGAGCUCAACAUAUCAUCAACCUCUUGCCAGAAUCACAGACUACAACUUUUAACGCAGGCAUUUAGCAAAAAUAAAUAUGUGUACAAAAUUGUAUUUCACAAAAGUAAAUUCAUGGUCACAUUCUCUCUUUCUCUUUUUACUUGCAAUCUCCUCCCCCGGUGUGUUUCCUAUUGUAUGAACAUAAAGAUUAAAGGUGCCGUACAAGAACAAGUCAGCAAGCAUCUCUGAGAGAAUUAUUUUCACCGUAUCUAAAUGUCUGGAUUUACCGAACCAUCACAACCGCUCAUGACAGUGAAGAAGGAGAUAAAAGAAGAAGAAUUUGAUGAUUUCCUACAAGAGUAUUUGUCUGCAAUUCAGACAGUGGAAGAAAAGCCUGGAAUGUAAUGUGAAAUCAAGACUGAAAUGUACACGUCACCAACCAUGAAAGAAGAAAAUAAUUCACCAAUGGAAAAUACAGAUGAAGAAGAAUUUGAUUUAAGUGAAUAUGGUCACUAUGUCGCUUCUCCUACAGGAGACAUUCAAAGGAUCCAAUCUAAUAUGAAAGGGAACACUGAGGAAAAAAGAAACAAAGACAGAUGUCACAAUCAGUCAAAUCAAUCACACCUAACCGUACAUAUGAUGAAACAUACUGGAGAAAAGCCAGUUCAGUGUUCUCAGUGUGGAAAGACCAUUAAUUACAUAUAUAGCCUCAAGGAACACCAGAGGAUCCAUACUGGGGAAAGGCCUUAUCAGUGUUCUCAGUGUGGAAAAACCUUUAGCGAAAUGGCUGAUCUUAAGACACACCAGAAGGUCCAUACUGGGGAAAGGCCUUAUCAGUGUUCUCAGUGUGGAAAGACUUUUAGCAAAAUGUCUUAUCUCAAAAGUCACCAAAAAAUCCAUGCAGGGGCAAAGCCACAUCAAUGUUCUCAGUGUGGAAAGGCCUUUGGAGAAAUGUCUCAUCUCAAGAGACACCAGAGGAUCCAUACUGGAGAAAAGCCACAUCAGUGUUCUCAGUGUGGAAAGGCCUUUAACCAAAUGUCUCAUCUCAAGGGACACCAGAAGAUCCAUACUGGGGUAAGGCCUUAUCAGUGUUCUCAUUGUGGAAAGACCUUUAGCCAAAUGUCUCAACUAAGGACACAUCAGAGGAUCCAUACUGGAGAAAAGCCACAUCAGUGUUCUCAGUGUGGAAAGGCCUUUAGUCCAACUGUGUGAUCUCAAGAGGCACCAGAAGAUCCAUACUGGAGAAAAGCCACAUCAGUGUUCUCAGUGUGGAAAGGCCUUUAGUCGAAUGUCAGAUCUCAAGAUACACCAGGGGAUCAAUACUGGGGCAAAGCCACAUCAGUGUUCUCAGUGUGGAAAGGCCUUUAGUCAAAUGUCUAGUCUCAAGAGACACCAGAGGAUCCAUUCAAAGGAUGUGCUGCCUUGCUAGUACGUGGUGGAGUAUCACUUACUGAAAUAUAUUUGAUUUGAAAAAAAUUGAAGUGAGUGUUUUUCUCAAGUACAUGAUGAAGUAUUAUUUCUUCAUAUUUGAAGUGAGUGUUUUUUUUCUCCAAGUAUGUGUAUGUGAGGGUUGGGGUGGGGGUUGUGUGUGUAUCUGGGUGUAAAGUAUACAAUCGCACGCAGUUAGUGCUCGGACAAGGAAAAGUAGUGUUUGUAAGCUUCCUAGAUAUAUGCCCUGAACAGCGCCUCAUAUGAAGAUUGUCUACAGCUCAAAGAUGUGUUGAGUGUCAGAGAUGGGGGAAGAAAGAAAUAAGACAGGGGGAGGGGGGAGGGAACAUAGCAUUGUCAUUGAAAAGGGUAGACACAGACAAACAUGGCUACCUCAAUAAAACAGAUUCUGCACUCACUGUAGUAACAGGGUAAUGGAGUUUUAGUUACUUUUCCUGACAGAAUGUAAUAAACAAAGCAGGGGAUACUACUUCUCAAGAAUAAAAUAAUUUUUUUACAAAAAUAAAAAGAGAAGAAAAAUAAUCAUUCCUCCUGGGUGAAACGAUGCGUACAUCUAACCUCCCAGCAUCUACACUCCAGCCACAUAUUGAGACAGAAUACCACAUGACUGUCAAUGAUAAAUAAAAUAUUAACAUAAUAAUAUUAAAAACACUAUUUUACACACUAAAAAUAUCUUUCCUUCACAUUUAGAAGACUGAUAGAUCAGAAUUGAAUAGAUGAAGAGCUGUAGGUGUAGCUAAAAUCUCAAAACACAUCAGGAAAUACACACUGUAGACAAACCAUCCUUUGUUCUGACCAUACACAGCAAAUAUCAGGUCUUUGGUUCAUUAAUGUUGAUGCUUUUGUUAGCCAUGGAAGCAGAACAUUUUAAGGUUGAUGUUGACCCUGAGGGUAAAAGUAGUUGAAAGUAGGUUUUUGUAAGGGGUAUGUUUACAUUUGAUUUAAAUAAAAAAAUAUUUUACUACAUUACCUCAUGUUAUUAUUGCUACUGUCUUCUAGAACAUGAUCAUAUAUGCCACUUUUGAUUCCAUGUUUUUAGUGAGGUGAAAUAUUCAAAGCAUUGAAGCAUGUCAAACUACCUAAAAGAGUCUAACAGGCCUUGGUCUCCCAAGUGUUAAAGGUACAGGUUUGUAUUCCAACCUUGUGUGAUAACCUUAGGGCUACUCCUCAUAAGGAUUGUAGUUCUUUAGCUUGCAGCCAUGUUAUGUGUGGGUUGUAGCUGGCAUGAAAAGAACUACUAAAGUUAGUCUGUCAUUUUUCCUUUUUCUAAUUUAGCCUCCUAAAAACAACACUUUCAUACAUCUUAUUGUCAGAAUUCUGAUGCCAAAAAAUAAUAAUAGGCUAAUGACAAUUAUGAUAUUUAAGUUAAGUACUAGUAGACGUGCAAGUUAGGAAGGGAAGUGCUCUAUGAAGAGUUGGGUUUUCAAGAGCUUCUUGAAGGUAGAGAGGGACGCCCCACUACAAAUGAGAAUAGUCUAGAUUGCCGCACUAAGUGUGAAUGGGGGCACUGGUGUUGGUGAUGGGUGGGGACCCAGUCUGCCCUGCUGAGUUGAUUGGGGUUGGGAGGUCAAACCUGUUAAAAUUGGUUCAGCUUGUUCGCACAUUCCAGAAUCCCCUUAACGGCAGUGCUUGACUGUUUGUAGCCAGUUAUCUUUCUAAC